UUUAAAUAUAUUACUAUUGAGGACGAGUGCUUUUUGGCACUAAUACUCGCCAUAGCAGAAAACGCUAACUAGGAAAAACUCACCUUGCAACCGUUGUACUUAGCAUCCAAGCUACCGCCAUUGUCCAGCAUACCACAUGCAUACUGGCUGUAAAUAUCGCGCAUA
Molecule: long non-coding RNA, 165 nt
Organism: Thalassophryne amazonica
Lineage: Eukaryota; Metazoa; Chordata; Actinopteri; Batrachoidiformes; Batrachoididae
Exons: 4
Source: RefSeq, a predicted model, not a curated record